This 525-nucleotide long non-coding RNA is filed under the name Marmota monax (woodchuck). Lineage: Eukaryota; Metazoa; Chordata; Mammalia; Rodentia; Sciuridae. The record is from RNAcentral.
AAAAACAACAAUAAAAUUUACAGGAAGUUGGCCAACUUUUUAUUAUCACCUUGCACCGGCAAUGGUAAAUCAGUUGUAAAACUUCUGUUGGUCUAAUUUCCAGGUCAUUGUUCCAGUAACUUCUGAGCUUUAAUAAUGUGAUAUGUCAAUAUGUAAUCUUCAUAUUAUUAUAAUUAUCAUUAUCUAAUGCUAAACAUUGCUUUCUAUGAGGAAGUCACAUUAGAGAACUCCCGGCUUUGGAGUUUGUUGUGGUUAAGAUAUGACCUGUUCCCCCAAAAGCUCAUGUGGCAAGGCAGGAAAGUUCAGAGGUGAAACUGUACAAGAGCCACAACCUAAUCAGUGGAGUAAUCCAUUUGCUGGAUUAAUAAUCUGAAUGGAUUACUUAGAGUACUGUAGGUGGGGUGUGGCUGGAGGAAACAGGUGAGGUCGCAUGUCCUUGGAUUAUGUCUUGUCCCGGCUUCUCUCCCCCUCUCUCUGCUUCCUGGCUGCCAUGAGCUGAGUAGCUUUCUUCACCAUGAUGUUGGG